This 400-nucleotide ribosomal RNA is filed under the name uncultured bacterium. Its description in RNAcentral is "bacterial SSU rRNA". It matches the Rfam family "Bacterial small subunit ribosomal RNA", at positions 975 to 1375 of the family's 1533-position model. The record is from RNAcentral.
CUGGGCUUGACAUGCAUCUCUAAGCGCGUGAAAGCGCGUGACCCUUCGGGGGAUUUGCACAGGUGCUGCAUGGCCGUCGUCAGCUCGUGUCGUGAGAUGUUGGGUUAAGUCCCGCAACGAGCGCAACCCUUGUGAACUGUUGCCAGCGCGUCAUGGCGGGAACUCGGUUCAGACUGCCCAGAUCAACUGGGAGGAAGGUGGGGACGACGUCAGGUCAGUAUGGCCCUUACGCCCAGGGCUGCACACGUACUACAAUGCCCGGCACAAUGAGAACCGAGACCGCAAGGUGGAGGAAAUCUGCAAAACCGGGCCCAGUUCGGAUUGGAGGCUGCAACCCGCCUCCAUGAAGUCGGAAUCGCUAGUAAUGGCGCAUCAGCUACGGCGCCGUGAAUACGUUCCC